GGCUGAGAGAUCAGCUGUUCCCUUCGGGGACAGAAUGACAGGUGGUGCAUGGUUGUCGUCAGCUCGUGUCGUGAGAUGUUGGGUUAAGUCCCGCAACGAGCGCAACCCUUAUGAUCAGUUGCCAGCAUUCAGUUGGGCACUCUGGUCAGACUGCCGGUGACAAACCGGAGGAAGGCGGGGAUGACGUCAAAUCAUCAUGCCCCUUAUGACCUGGGCUACACACGUGCUACAAUGGGUGGUACAACGAGCAGCGAGACCGCGAGGUCAAGCGAAUCUCUAAAAACCAUCCUCAGUUCGGAUUGCAGGCUGCAACUCGCCUGCAUGAAGCUGGAAUCCCUAGUAAUCGCGGAUCAGCACGCCGCGGUGAAUACGUUCCCGGGUCUUGUACACACCGA
RNAcentral lists this ribosomal RNA (395 nucleotides) under uncultured bacterium. Its description in RNAcentral is "bacterial SSU rRNA". It matches the Rfam family "Bacterial small subunit ribosomal RNA", at positions 997 to 1393 of the family's 1533-position model. The record is from RNAcentral.